UUUACGUAACCUUAAGGUUUUCAAUGCCAACGAGUGAUGUAAGCAAAUUUAUAUUCCAGAGAUAAUUUUAAGCAGAAAUACGUUGCUUCGCAUUGAUUUAGAUACACUAACUUCGAAAAAGUGAACUAGCAGCUAACAUUGCUGCAAAAAAUAUUUUUUCAUCAAAAAUUGCACGUGCAUGAAAUUCUUUGAGUAGCGAUACUGAGCAUUAAAUUUUCAUUCCAAAACCACACUCAUCGGGA
This is a long non-coding RNA of Bradysia coprophila, 242 nucleotides long. Lineage: Eukaryota; Metazoa; Arthropoda; Insecta; Diptera; Sciaridae. The record is from RefSeq and is a predicted model, not a curated record.